This is a long non-coding RNA of Xiphias gladius (swordfish), 558 nucleotides long. RefSeq lists it as uncharacterized. The transcript is spliced from 3 exons. NCBI's taxonomy places the organism in Eukaryota, Metazoa, Chordata, Actinopteri, Istiophoriformes, Xiphiidae. The record is from RefSeq and is a predicted model, not a curated record.
CUGUGCCCCAGUUAUUAAAAGACUUUGAUCCAUCACCUUUGCAGGUGUGGAGUUUACAACAGGAGGCCUGUGGACUGAUUUCUACGUGAAGGACUCGGGACGAAUUUUCCGGGAAAAUCCAAAGGACGUGACGUUCAUGCUCCCGAGUGCCUCAGUGCCUCUCUUCCGCUCCCCUACGGCGUCAACAGUGUGCAACACUGGCUAACGUUAGCUCAGGGAUGGAGUCCGCUGACGCCAACGAACGACCGGCUCCCGGCACAACACGGACUCCACCUCACUAACCGUUAGCGUUGCCAUCCAGCAAAUUUAGCCGCGCUGACAUUGCCGAGCGUCUUGGUGAGAGCUGGACAAACUCCCUCAUCUAUCAACAUGGUGUUCAGUCUCGUGUCACGUCACUGCUUUGGCCGAUGUCCAGGAUGCUGACUGCAGCUAACUCAGCGGCCACCGGCUUCGUCAAUAACAGGGUCUUUCUGAAUGUUACAUAUGGUAUCUUUAAAUGAAUAUUUAUGCUGGUUUAAAAUAGAAUGGUCCUUUAAAGGACAUCCCUCUGGAAAUCAA